Pongo pygmaeus (Bornean orangutan) is the source of this 1495-nucleotide long non-coding RNA. RefSeq lists it as uncharacterized. The transcript has 3 exons. Lineage: Eukaryota; Metazoa; Chordata; Mammalia; Primates; Hominidae. The record is from RefSeq and is a predicted model, not a curated record.
GAAUUCCACAGCCCCCACCCCUGCCCUCAGCCUCCUUGAAAGUGGCCGCUGGGGCUGGGGUCUGUCUUUGCAGAGGUGCCAGGCCACAUGCCCCGCCCACCUCUACCAGCUAUGCCGCCUCUGAAGUUCCUCCAGCGGCAAUGAGGAGGGGCCCUGUGGUCGAGGGUGCAGUUAAACGAGGCCCGACCGGGUGGUUGAGCUCAGCUUGGCUGUACUUGUCUUCCUUGGACCUGCUGGGCACCCCCAGCCAGGCGCAGUGGCUCAUUCCUAUAAUCCCAGCACUUUGUGAGGCUGAGGCGAGCAGAUCACCUGAGGUCAGGAGUACAAGACCAGCCUGGCCUACAUGAGCCAUCUCCAUGGUGGCCAUCUGUGAGGCUAUGACCGUCUCCCACCAGGCUGUGAGUCCCAUGAGGUCGAGGCAGCAGAAAGCAGCACCGCUCAGAUCCCAGAGCAAGGCAAGCGGGGAGCCGUGCCUGCCUCGGGCCUAAGCCCUUGCCCAGGGCUGUCUUCAGAGCUCCUCUCCACCUCCUGGGGUAGGGUGGAGGCUGCUCCUGGCGGGGCCAACACGGAGAACCAUCAGGGACUAAGGCAGAACCAGAACACGGAUUUGCUCUCCUGCCAGCCCAGGCCUGCAACCCCCUCCUGCCCCUCACCUUCUCCUUAGAGUUCUCUGGGGCCUGAGAACCCAGCAGGGUUCCACCCACAGUGCCCCGAAGGGUCACUUCCCCACCUGCUCCCCUGAUGGCCUCCUGCACCUAUCAAGAGCUAACUCACACCUUAUCCUCUUCUGAAGCUGUUGCUGCCCCUCAGGCAGGGCUGGUCACCAGCCUCAGGGCACCCUGUGUCAUUAGCUCCCUACUAGUCAGCCUCCCACCCAACCCCCUAUGCACACACCAGGUCUGGAGCCCCUUGGAGUCAGAGCCUGAGCCUGCUCCAUCUCCAUCUCUGUCUGCACUCCCAACACGGGGACUUCAGUUGGGGUUGGUGUGGAACAGGGUGGAAGGUGGAAGGAAGGAUGGAUGAAUAGCAGAAUCGAAGGGAUACUCCGAUCUCCAAACAGCCCCAGCCAGUUCUCCUCCUCCUCUGGUACCUCCUGCUCCACCUCCUGGGCAGGAGAGCAGACCUAGUCCUCCCAUUGCCAGUCCUGAUUUGUGGGGUCCCUGAGGUGGUGAAAGGAGUCUAGGCCCCUUUCCCCUUCCUGCUUGGCCCACGUGCACCUCCUGGAGUCUCAGCGCCAGAGAAACCCCCUCUGGAGGGAGGCAUCUCUCAACAAUGUCAGGGAAGGGACACGGUCAGCUCGUUUGUCAGCCCUGCUGGUCAACACCUGCCCGCCUCACAGGGAGGGGCUGGCGCUGGCCUCCCCUCCGGGGCCUGUUUCCCUUGGAGCCCUUUCCCAGAGCUGUCUAGAGCUCCCCACGAGCAAGCCCUGCUCAUUUCCUUCUGAAAAUAAAAACCACUUCCUGGCUUCGCAGAGAACUGCUCCGGUGAAAUGGGC